UUGACCUCAAAUCAGGUAGGACUACCCGCUGAACUUAAGCAUAUCAAUAAGCGGAGGAAAAGAAACUAACAAGGGAUUCCCCUAGUAACUGCGAGUGAAGCGGGAAAAGCUCAAAUUUAAAAUCUGGCGGUCUUGCGGCCGUCCGAGUUGUAAUCUGGAGAAGCGUCUAUCCGCGUCGGACCGUGUACAAGUCUUCUGGAAGGGAGCGUCAUAGAGGGUGAGAAUCCCGUCUUUGACACGGACUACCGAUGCUUUUGUGAU
This 261-nucleotide ribosomal RNA is filed under the name uncultured Piloderma. RNAcentral describes it as "partial 28S ribosomal RNA". It matches the Rfam family "Eukaryotic large subunit ribosomal RNA", at positions 1 to 250 of the family's 3401-position model. The record is from RNAcentral. Lineage: Eukaryota; Fungi; Basidiomycota; Agaricomycetes; Atheliales; Atheliaceae.